Molecule: long non-coding RNA, 210 nt
Filed under: Elaeis guineensis (African oil palm)
Lineage: Eukaryota; Viridiplantae; Streptophyta; Magnoliopsida; Arecales; Arecaceae
Description: long non-coding RNA (EGUI_LNC033013)
Source: RNAcentral
CUGCCUUCGACCUUUUGAGGUAGAAUAUGCCUUGAGAGAGGUCUAUGAAGUCAUCUAUUGCAACUACUUGUUGGCAGGGUCUUAGCUUACAAGGUCCUAUGACAAGGCUACUACUGGCCAAGCAUCUAUAAAGACACUACUGAGUUCAUGAAGUAGUACAACCAGUGCCAAUGACACUUGAGCAUUCAACACUUGCUGGUGGCCCUCCUA